CACUCCUGCGGGAGGCAGCAGUAGGGAAUCUUCCACAAUGGGUGCAAACCUGAUGGAGCAAUGCCGCGUGAGUGAAGAAGGUCUUCGGAUCGUAAAGCUCUGUUGUUAGAGAAGAACACGUGCUAGGUAACUACUAGCGCCUUGACGGUAUCUAACCAGAAAGUCACGGCUAACUACGUGCCAGCAGCCGCGGUAAUACGUAGGUGACAAGCGUUGUCCGGAUUUAUUGGGCGUAAAGGGAGCGCAGGCGGUCUGUUUAGUCUAAUGUGAAAGCCCACGGCUUAACCGUGGAACGGCAUUGGAAACUGACAGACUUGAAUGUAGAAGAGGAAAAUGGAAUUCCAAGUGUAGCGGUGGAAUGCGUAGAUAUUUGGAGGAACACCAGUGGCGAAGGCGAUUUUCUGGUCUAACAUUGACGCUGAGGCUCGAAAGCGUGGGGAGCGAACAGGAUUAGAAACCCCUGUAGUCCCAUGA
Molecule: ribosomal RNA, 474 nt
Filed under: uncultured organism
Description: partial 16S ribosomal RNA
Rfam family: Bacterial small subunit ribosomal RNA
Source: RNAcentral